RNAcentral lists this long non-coding RNA (485 nucleotides) under Ananas comosus (pineapple). RNAcentral describes it as "long non-coding RNA (ACOM_LNC025231)". Lineage: Eukaryota; Viridiplantae; Streptophyta; Magnoliopsida; Poales; Bromeliaceae. The record is from RNAcentral.
AAACAAAAUAUGAAAAUUUUUUUUGCACUAAUGGAGUCAUUUAUGCGACACGGCAGAUAGAUAAUUUAAAAAAUAUAUAAAACAACGACAAAGCAAGAGAAAACAUCGAUGUAAAAAGUGACGAUAAGGAGUGGAAUUUAUUAUUACCGAUAAAGAAAAAUAACAGCCGAAGAAAGUGAAAAAAAAAACUUGGCCCCACGCAUAGGUGUGAUUCGGUUCCGUUAAAACAAAAAAAAAAAAAAAAAUUCAAUUUGGUUCAAGUAAAGUCAGAAAAAAAUAUGUGAAGGACUUGACUAUGUUCAGAAAAACCUACACUCAAUAAUAAUUAAUUUGGUUCAAACAAAAUAAAGAGAAAAAAUUCAUUCAGUUCAAGUAAAGAAAAAAAAAAUGAAAAGUUUGAGCCGAUUCGGAAUGAAACACACAUUCAAUAAUGAAAGAACCGUUGCGCCGUGACAAAUAUUAAGCAAAUAAUAAUAUAUAUAAAU